GGAUUGCAGGCUGCAACCCGCCUGCAUGAAGUCGGAAUCGCUAGUAAUCGCAAGUCAGCAUAUUGCGGUGAAUACGUUCCCGGGUCCUUGUACACACCGCCCGUCACACCAUGGGAGUUGGCAACACCCGAAGUCGAUGAGCUAACCUUUUAGGAGGGAGCUGCCGAAGGUGGGACCGAUAACUGGGGUGAAGUCGUAACAAGGUAGC
RNAcentral lists this ribosomal RNA (208 nucleotides) under uncultured bacterium. RNAcentral's name for it is "partial 16S ribosomal RNA". It matches the Rfam family "Bacterial small subunit ribosomal RNA", at positions 1295 to 1500 of the family's 1533-position model. The record is from RNAcentral.